UACGGGGGGGGCAAGCGUUGUUCGGAAUUACUGGGCGUAAAGGGCGUGUAGGCGGCCAACUAAGUCAGACGUGAAAUCCCUCGGCUUAACCGAGGAACUGCGUCUGAUACUGGAUGGCUUGAAUCCGGGAGAGGGAUGCGGAAUUCCAGGUGUAGCGGUGAAAUGCGUAGAUAUCUGGAGGAACACCGGUGGCGAAGGCGGCAUCCUGGACCGGUAUUGACGCUUAAGCGCGAAAGCCAGGGGAG
This 245-nucleotide ribosomal RNA is filed under the name uncultured bacterium. Its description in RNAcentral is "partial 16S ribosomal RNA". It matches the Rfam family "Bacterial small subunit ribosomal RNA", at positions 524 to 768 of the family's 1533-position model. The record is from RNAcentral.